This 71-nucleotide transfer RNA is filed under the name Marmota monax (woodchuck). RNAcentral's name for it is "tRNA.Ala". Lineage: Eukaryota; Metazoa; Chordata; Mammalia; Rodentia; Sciuridae. The record is from RNAcentral.
GGGGUUGUGGCUCAGUGAUAGAGCACUCACCUAGCAUGUGCAAGGUCCUGGGUUGGACCCUCAGCACCACA